RNAcentral lists this transfer RNA (61 nucleotides) under Sphindus dubius. Its description in RNAcentral is "tRNA-His". Lineage: Eukaryota; Metazoa; Arthropoda; Insecta; Coleoptera; Sphindidae. The record is from RNAcentral.
AUUUAAAUAGUUUAAAAAAAAUAUUAAUUUGUGGAAUUAAUGAUACUAAUAGUUUUAAAUA